Molecule: long non-coding RNA, 581 nt
Organism: Heterocephalus glaber (naked mole-rat)
Lineage: Eukaryota; Metazoa; Chordata; Mammalia; Rodentia; Bathyergidae
Source: Ensembl
GUUUCAGAAGUGACCAUGAAAAGUUUUGAACAGAAAAACAAAAUGGAAGGAGGCCCAUGAAGUCUGCACUUUCCUGUAUUAGGAAAGGGUAGGCAGGCACAUGGCUGCAUCUUGAUGCUGCUUGUCUGACUAACCCUGCAGUCUGUAAGAAGAAAAGAGAAUGCUGAAGAAUGAGUGACUGAUUGGAAGCCUCAGCCCUGCUACUUCAUUGCCUGUUUGAUGUCUCUGAAUAACUACUGCAUACCUUCAAGCCUUAUUUAGUCCAUUUAUCUGUCAUAGUUCCAGCUUGGCUACCAGUUUUUUUGGUACCGGGUAUCGAACUCAGGACCUUGAGCUCAAGAGGCAGGUGGCGGAACCACUGAACUAAAUCUCCAGCCCAACUGAAAUAAUUUUUGUUUUUUGCUGUUGUUGUUGUUUUUGGUACUGGGCAUCGAACUCAGGACCUUGGGCUUUCGAGGCAGGCACCAGAACCGCUGAGCUAAAUCCCCAGCCCUAAUUUUUGAACAGAGGCUAGCAUGAAACUGCUGCUUGAAAUUCUUCCCACCUACAUCUCUGCAUGUGCUCUAAUGGAGCUGAUCCUU